GUGCCAGCAGCCGCGGUAAUACGUAGGGUGCGAGCGUUAAUCGGAAUUACUGGGCGUAAAGCGUGCGCAGGCGGCUUUGCAAGACAGAUGUGAAAUCCCCGGGCUCAACCUGGGAACUGCAUUUGUGACUGCAAGGCUAGAGUACGGUAGAGGGGGAUGGAAUUCCGCGUGUAGCAGUGAAAUGCGUAGAUAUGCGGAGGAACACCAAUGGCGAAGGCAAUCCCCUGGACCUGUACUGACGCUCAUGCACGAAAGCGUGGGGAGCAAACAGGAUUAGAUACCCCUGGUAGUCC
RNAcentral lists this ribosomal RNA (293 nucleotides) under uncultured microorganism. RNAcentral describes it as "partial 16S ribosomal RNA". It matches the Rfam family "Bacterial small subunit ribosomal RNA", at positions 505 to 796 of the family's 1533-position model. The record is from RNAcentral.